GACGAACGCUGGCGGCGUGCUUAACACAUGCAAGUCGAACGGAAAGGCCCUGCGUUUGUGGGGUGCUCGAGUGGCGAACGGGUGAGUAACACGGGAGUAACCUGCCCUUGACUUUGGGAUAACUUCAGGAAACUGGGGCUAAUACCGGAUAGGAGCUCCUGCUGCAUGGUGGGGGUUGGAAAGUUUCGGCGGUUGGGGAUGGACUCGCGGCUUAUCAGCUUGUUGGUGGGGUAGUGGCUUACCAAGGCUUUGACGGGUAGCCGGCCUGAGAGGGUGACCGGCCACAUUGGGACUGAGAUACGGCCCAGACUCCUACGGGAGGCAGCAGUGGGGAAUAUUGCACAAUGGGCGGAAGCCUGAUGCAGCAACGCCGCGUGCGGGAUGACGGCCUUCGGGUUGUAAACCGCUUUCGCCUGUGACGAAGCGUGAGUGACGGUAAUGGGUAAAGAAGCACCGGCUAACUACGUG
Molecule: ribosomal RNA, 468 nt
Filed under: uncultured bacterium
Lineage: Bacteria
Description: partial 16S ribosomal RNA
Rfam family: Bacterial small subunit ribosomal RNA
Source: RNAcentral